RNAcentral lists this ribosomal RNA (1368 nucleotides) under Triticum aestivum (bread wheat). RNAcentral's name for it is "partial small subunit ribosomal RNA". The record is from RNAcentral. Lineage: Eukaryota; Viridiplantae; Streptophyta; Magnoliopsida; Poales; Poaceae.
AUGGGGGCGGCGGCGCCGCUGACGCUGCGGGACUUCCUGGAGAUGGCGUGCGAGUCCAGCUGCAGCGACGGCUUCCGCUCCUACCCGCGCCGCCUGCUCCCCUGCCCCGUCUCCCACUCCGACGACGCCACGCAGGAGAAGCUUAAGGCGGAGACGGCGCCCGUGCGCCUCCUCAUCGAGGCCGACCUGCGGCGGAGCCCGUCCCGGACGCUCUCCUCCAUCCUCUUCCCCCGGAGCCCCCGGUCGCUGGCCGCCAUCUCGCGCCUCUCCAGGACCCUCUCGCGGCGGCUCGUCUUCUGGAGGCGCCACCCCGGCGACGACGACGGCAGCGAGCGGGACUCUCUCGGCCUCCCGUCGCCCGUCGUCAGCAGCUGCUCCGCGUCCGAGCACGCCGAGUCGGACGCGGAGGCGCCUGGCCCGCCGCCCGUCGACGCGGCGGAGGAGAAGCCCGCCUCGAAGCCUUCGCCGUCGUCCAGCUCGGGCAGCGUCGACGCGGACGACGGCCACGCCGCCGCCGGAGCCAAGCACAAGGAGCAGCAAGCCGAUGGUGGCGAUGCCGUGGGGUCGACGGAGGAGGAGAAGCAGCAGCUGAGCCCCGUCUCCGUCAUGGACUUCCCCUUCCAUGACGACGACGAAACGAGCGACGCCGGCACCUGCUCGCCUGCUACCUCCUUCCAGCACUGCCUCCCCGACGAUCCCGAACGUACGUUACGGUCGAACAAGGCGCAGGCGCAGGAACUGCUGCUGCUGCACAAGAUCCGACGGCUCGACGGCCUGGCGCAGGCUGUGGGCCCCGUGGAUCUCGAGGCGCAGUUCGGCACCGAAUCUGAUCGCCAGUCUGCGGAAUCUGACGACACGCACACCCAGACGAGCAACUGCAGCAGCACCAGCGCCGACCACGGCGUGGCGGCGACGUGGUCACCACGGUGCCGGAGCGCCGAUCGUGAUGCAGAGCGCGAGCCUGACGUGCCCCGGCGCCUCCUCGCGCGACUCCUCAAAGACGACGACGACGACGGCACGGCAGUUACUUCGGGUGCCACGGAACGGCUGCUCCUGGACUUCUUCGCGGAGGGGCUCGACCGGCGCCGUGCGUCGGAGGCAGGGCCGGUGGUCUCCCCGGUGAGGCCGUCGGACGACGAGUCGGCGCUGGUGCGUGCGGCACAGGAUUGGGUGCAAGGUGCCGGCACGCGGUGGGGCGCGGAGGACGUGCUGUUCGCCGGGGAGGCGGCGCUGGCGGACAUGGACCGGGGUCGGCGGUGGGUGCGCGCCGGCGAGGAGGAGCGGGAGGUCGGCGCCGCGUUGGAGGGGCUGGUGAUGGACGAGCUGGUGGCCGAGCUUGUGAGCGACUUGGCACUGGCACGCCGUUGA